GGCUGGUCUGAAGGUAGUAAGUUCUCUCCAUUGAUUGCUCAUGGUUAGUUACAGAUCAAACUCCCUAUUCCACUUUCCCCUUCUCAUUACUGCACUUAGCCUUUU
RNAcentral lists this small RNA (105 nucleotides) under Saimiri boliviensis boliviensis (Bolivian squirrel monkey). RNAcentral describes it as "Y RNA (ENSSBOG00000012263.1)". The record is from RNAcentral. Lineage: Eukaryota; Metazoa; Chordata; Mammalia; Primates; Cebidae.